AUUGAACGCUGGCGGCAUGCCUUACACAUGCAAGUCGAACGGUAACAGGUCUUCGGAUGCUGACGAGUGGCGAACGGGUGAGUAAUACAUCGGAACGUGCCUAGUAGUGGGGGAUAACUACUCGAAAGAGUGGCUAAUACCGCAUGAGAUCUACGGAUGAAAGCAGGGGAUCGCAGGACCUUGUGCUACUAGAGCGGCCGAUGGCAGAUUAGGUAGUUGGUGGGAUAAAAGCUUACCAAGCCGACGAUCUGUAGCUGGUCUGAGAGGACGAUCAGCCACACUGGGACUGAGGCACGGGCCGGACUCCUACGGGAGGCAGCAGUGGGGAAUUUUGGACAAUGGGCGCAAGCCUGAUCCAGCAAUGCCGCGUGAAGGAUGAAGGCCUUCGGGUUGCAAACUGCUUUUGUACGGAACGAAAAGCCCUGGGUUAAUACCCUGGGGUCAUGACGGUACCGUAAGAAUAAGCACCGGCUAACUACGUGCCAGCCGCCGCCGUAA
Molecule: ribosomal RNA, 498 nt
Filed under: uncultured bacterium
Lineage: Bacteria
Description: partial 16S ribosomal RNA
Rfam family: Bacterial small subunit ribosomal RNA
Source: RNAcentral